CCCUUAGAUGUUCUGGGCCGCACGCGUGCUACACUGAUGCAUUCAACGAGUCUAAAACCUGGUCUGAUAGGGCUGGGUAAUCUUUUGAAAGUGCAUCGUGAUUGGGAUAGAUGAUUGCAAUUCUUCAUCUUCAACGAGGAAUUCCUAGUAAACGCAGAUCAUCAAUCUGCAUUGAUUACGUCCCUGCCCUUUGUACACACCGCCCGUCGCACCUACCGAUUGGAUGGUCCGGUGAAGCCUCGGGAUUGUGGUUCUUGCCGCUUUAUUGUGGCGUGACCGCGAGAACUUGUCUAAACCUUAUCAUCUAGAGGAAGGUGAAGUCGUAACA
RNAcentral lists this ribosomal RNA (328 nucleotides) under uncultured eukaryote. RNAcentral describes it as "partial 18S ribosomal RNA". It matches the Rfam family "Eukaryotic small subunit ribosomal RNA", at positions 1470 to 1796 of the family's 1831-position model. The record is from RNAcentral.